RNAcentral lists this long non-coding RNA (409 nucleotides) under Triticum aestivum (bread wheat). RNAcentral describes it as "long non-coding RNA (TAES_LNC009241)". Lineage: Eukaryota; Viridiplantae; Streptophyta; Magnoliopsida; Poales; Poaceae. The record is from RNAcentral.
AGAUGCAAUGCAGGCCGCCAUCCUGAAAAUGCGACCAAGACACAAUCGUUGAACUGAUGCAUCACUCAGAGAACUUUUAGCAGUCUCUAAGGAGGAGGAGGAGGAGAUGAGAUGGGCAAGAAUUGCCUUGACCUUCUAUAACACAAUGAACCUGGACAGUGUUAGAAUCCACCACCAUAUAACUCAUUCUGAUCCACCAUCACCGCCAUUGGCAUACCCACUGUAGUGGCAGAACCAUCAUAAUGAACUGCUUCCUUGGAUAAAGGUAAAUUUCAUUAUGCUCGCUCAAUGUAAUCCCGAACCAUCGUCACAUCAUACCAGCCAAGCAUAAGACCAAUAAACACCAGAUUUAUCUGCUUGCAAUUGGAGCAAAAUAGAACAGUAGCCCAAAACCUGCAGCCAGAAGAAA